This is a long non-coding RNA of Daphnia carinata, 455 nucleotides long. RefSeq lists it as uncharacterized. The record is from RefSeq and is a predicted model, not a curated record. The transcript has 3 exons. NCBI's taxonomy places the organism in Eukaryota, Metazoa, Arthropoda, Branchiopoda, Diplostraca, Daphniidae.
GCUGAGUGAACUUGCAGUUCUGUAAAGUUAUUCGAGAUAACUGCAAAUGGUAGUCCCAAAACCGGAAGAAUUUUGUCUGUCAUCUUUACUACGUGAACUUUAAAAGGCCUUGUUAUACCAAAGGGCGCCAAAUGGAGAAAUUGGGCUUCAUCAACGAUUCAAAUUCAUUGAUUUUAACAGCCUGGUUGCAAACUUUUAGCCAUAGCAUUGCAAUCAAUGUAUUUAUAAUCCAGUCUUCAACACUCACAAAUGCCAAUGUACACAGUUGUUUCUACGCUGAAACGUUUAAUCUGACAAUGAUUUGGUCAAUUUUUUUUUUUACUGGUUGACACUUCAAUUUUUUAAUGUUUGAUCAACCACUUUUCGAUACUUAAAAGCGAGGACCGAAUGGCACCUACACUUGGACUGGAUCGGACGGUUAUUUGGUCGAAUGGCUAGCGGCAAUAUUAAACUUU